RNAcentral lists this small RNA (439 nucleotides) under Pongo abelii (Sumatran orangutan). RNAcentral's name for it is "retained intron". The record is from RNAcentral. Lineage: Eukaryota; Metazoa; Chordata; Mammalia; Primates; Hominidae.
CAUUUGUAAGUGAAGUUCAAACCAGUUUUAAGAACAAGAAAGGAAAUGAGUAUCUUAGAAGAAAAGGUGACCUUGAAAUAGAAGACUCAGAUGAAGCUUCACAAACUAUUUGUCUGAUUUACCCUAUACAGAAAAGGCCUUCAGCCUAAUGUACUCCUGUAUUUGGAAUCUGUCGUUUUAUCUUGGGUAGCAGUACAUUAGGUCACUGCCUGAAAUUCUCCAUUUUCAGAUGCUGUCCACGGUGCUGAACAUCAUCAUCUUUGAAGACUGUAGGAACCAGUGGUCUAUGUCCCGACCACUACUUGGCUUGAUAUUGCUUAAUGAAAAGUAUUUUUCUGACCUAAGGAACAGUAUCGUGAACAGCCAGCCACCAGAGAAGCAGCAGGCCAUGCACCUGUGUUUUGAGAACCUGAUGGAAGGCAUCGAGCGAAAUCUUCUU